Molecule: microRNA precursor, 155 nt
Filed under: Amborella trichopoda
Lineage: Eukaryota; Viridiplantae; Streptophyta; Magnoliopsida; Amborellales; Amborellaceae
Description: MIR8565 microRNA precursor family
Rfam family: MIR8565 microRNA precursor family
Source: Rfam by way of RNAcentral
UCUACAUCCAUGUAUGUAGGACCUUAAAGGAUCAACCAUUAAAUUUAGCAUAGAUCUUUUAAAAAGUUAUCACAUGAGUGUGGGACUUGACUUUUCUAGAGAUUUGUGCCAAAUUUAAUGGUAAUCCUUUAGGGUCCUACACACAUGGGUGUGGG